Molecule: transfer RNA, 73 nt
Filed under: Ectothiorhodospiraceae bacterium AqS1
Lineage: Bacteria; Pseudomonadati; Pseudomonadota; Gammaproteobacteria; Chromatiales; Ectothiorhodospiraceae
Rfam family: tRNA
About the family: Transfer RNA (tRNA) molecules are approximately 80 nucleotides in length. Their secondary structure includes four short double-helical elements and three loops (D, anti-codon, and T loops).
Source: Rfam by way of RNAcentral
GGGGGCAUAGCUUAGUGGUAAAGCGUCUGGUUUUGUGGCCCAGAAAACAGGGGUUCGAUUCCCCUUGCCUCCA